UGGGGAAUAUUGCACAAUGGGCGCAAGCCUGAUGCAGCCAUGCCGCGUGUGUGAAGAAGGCCUUCGGGUUGUAAAGCACUUUCAGCGGGGAGGAAGGCGGUGAGGUUAAUAACCUCAUCGAUUGACGUUACCCGCAGAAGAAGCACCGGCUAACUCCGUGCCAGCAGCCGCGGUAAUACGGAGGGUGCAAGCGUUAAUCGGAAUUACUGGGCGUAAAGCGCACGCAGGCGGUUUGUUAAGUCAGAUGUGAAAUCCCCGGGCUCAACCUGCGAGCUGCAUCUGAUAGUGGCAAGCUUGAGUCUCGUAGAGGGGGGUAGAAUUCCAGGUGUAGCGGUGAAAUGCGUAGAGAUCUGGAGGAAUACCGGUGGCGAAGGCGGCCCCCUGGACGACGACUGACGCUCAGGUGCGAAAGCGUGGGGAGCAAACAGG
Molecule: ribosomal RNA, 429 nt
Filed under: Chloroflexota bacterium
Lineage: Bacteria; Bacillati; Chloroflexota
Description: Chloroflexi bacterium partial 16S ribosomal RNA
Rfam family: Bacterial small subunit ribosomal RNA
Source: RNAcentral